RNAcentral lists this ribosomal RNA (468 nucleotides) under uncultured bacterium. Its description in RNAcentral is "partial 16S ribosomal RNA". It matches the Rfam family "Bacterial small subunit ribosomal RNA", at positions 28 to 507 of the family's 1533-position model. The record is from RNAcentral.
GAUGAACGCUGGCGGCGUGCUUAACACAUGCAAGUCGAACGGAAAGGCCCUGCUUUUGUUGGUUGCUCGUGUGGCGAACGGUUGUGUAUCACGUGAGUAACCUGCCCUUGACUUUGGGAUAACUUCAGGAAACUGGGGCUAAUACCGGAUAGGAGCUCCUGCUGCAUGGUGGGGGUUGGAAAGUUUCGGCGGUUGGGGCUGGACUCGCGGCUUAUCAGCUUGUUGGUGGGGUAGUGGCUUACCAAGUCUUUGACGGGUAGCCGGCCUGAGAGCGUGAUCGGCUACAAUGGUACUGAGUGACGUACCAGACUUCUACGGGCGGCAGCAGUCGCGAAUAUUACACAAUAAGCCGACGCCUGUUGCAGCAACGCCGCGUGCGCGAUACCGGCCUUCGGGGUGUAAACCGCUUUCGCCUGUGACGAGCAGUGUUUGACGGUAAUUGGUAAAGAAGCAACGGCUAACUAUGUG